GCGUGGGAGCGCGCGGCCGCCUGUCCGCCGCGGCCCUGCACGCGCGCACUUCGGGAAGCGGUUUUCGGAGCUCCGAAGGGCUUUCGGGGCGUCCCACGGUGUGACUGACUCUUCAGGUGUUUGCACUGAGUCUUCGCGUCUCUUUCAUGGCCCAAUGUUAUUACAGCGUGCUUUCCCUGUACGCUGCUUCAGAGCCUUUCCAGAAAUUGACAACACUUGGAUUGAGGUGCUAUUAUUUCCCUCAAUUUUACGGAUGAAUUAACUGAAGCUGGAAGGUUUGAUCUGACAUCGCCAUUUAAUCUUACUGGAAUUCAGUACCUUUCAAACAGUGGAAGAACAAUCUAAGGAUAUAUUAUAGCAAGAAGUCUAUUUGCUAUACAUUAAUUCUGCCCCCCCCCCGAGAAAUUUGCCCUCACUGUAGCAACAGUGGAAGCCAGAAGACAAUGAAGCAAUGUCUUCAAAAUUCUGAAGGAAAAUCAUUUCCAAGAAUUAUAUACCCAGCCAAACUAUCAAGUAAGAGUGAAGGUAGAAGAGAGAUGUUUUCAGGCAUGCAAAAUCUCAAAAACAAUUGAUUUCCAAUGCACCACUUUUGAGAAGAGAGGGAGUAAGCCAAGAAAGAGGAAGACAUGGGACUUUGGGAAAUAGAGAUGUGACACAGGAGGGAAGAAUCCAGGAGCGAUGGUGAAGAGAGGUUCAGAGGAGAUUGCUGUACAGCGGGCCAAAAGGCCACCAGUCUCCAUGGGAUCAGGUCACAGGAUUCAAGGAGACAUCUUUAAGAAGAUCAAAGUCACUAGAGUUUCCUUGGAUGGAACUGGAUUCCAAGAUUAUGGCACCCUUGAAGAGAAGAGACUGAUGCCGAGUCAUAGUGAUGAAACACCCAACAGAGACAAGAGCCAAAUACGGUCAGCUUCAUGAUGAUGCUGGAGAAGCGGUGGAGGCUGUGGCCUCAACCUCAGUAUGGACCCACGGUGGCCGAAGAUUGGGCAGAAGAAGUGGCUGCCUUCUGGUAAUGCUCUUAGCAUUUUGCAAUUAAUCACAAUAUCAUAUUUAACUCCUAGAGGACAGUAGGGUGGAGAAUCAGUCAGCCCCAUGACACAAUGAAGCAUAAGCCUAAAUGAUUAACCAGAAAAUACAUGUCUCUGACUCCCCGUCUCAGAAACAGAAGAUGCUAAGUGUCAUCAUAUAUAUAUGUAACAUACAUGAUACAUAUAUGAUUCUGUGCAAACUUCUUAUUAACUUUUAAUAGAUAUUUUAUAUCUAGAUUCCCCAGAAGAAUACGAAAUUUUACUUAUUAUCAGAUCUGUUCACUAGUUGCAACAAAAUGCAGGUGCUAUUUUGUUACUAUGAUUUUUUUUUUGAAGCCAGAGGCUAUUAUAGUAUAAAACACACGUGACCCAAUGAGAUGAGAUUCUUUACCGAAAUCCCUUGCUGAGUGUUGUAAGGGUGAGCGUGGGGAGCAGGGUCGGGGUUUGGGGUUUGUACGAUUACGUAUCUGAUGGCUUCCGAAAGAAUGAAACCUCAAAUACUAGGCUAAUAUCGAGUUUAAGAAUUGCUUCAGUGGUAGAAAUUUAAAAAUCUAAUAUUUUAUGCGAAAGUUUAAGGAGGAAGAAAUUUGAAUAAAGAGCAAUUAAUCCAUAGUUUAGGAACAGACCGUGAGCUAGGAGCUCUCCUAGAGAUGGGAAAGUAACAGCCUUGCAGGCGGAGCAUUUGUUUCUUGAUCACGUUUGACAUUCAGCUCUUGCCAGGUCUAUAUUUAGAACACGGCAAACUCAGUGCCUAGACGUGAAUACAGAGGUAGGUGGAAUCCGGCACUCUGAGAUUUAUGUGUUUGUGCAUUUAUUUUAGGGGAAAAGAGGGUCUAUUUCAGAUUACCUGUCAUCACUCGUGAAGACUUGCCUGUUGAAAACAAGUCUCCGUGUUUGUGUUUUCUCUCUGUAUCACAAUCUAGUCAAGUGAUUGUUCAACCGUCUGUACCAGGCAAAUUAAAUAAAUUUAUUGAAAUUACUA
Pteropus alecto (black flying fox) is the source of this 2007-nucleotide long non-coding RNA. RefSeq lists it as uncharacterized. Lineage: Eukaryota; Metazoa; Chordata; Mammalia; Chiroptera; Pteropodidae. The transcript is spliced from 5 exons. The record is from RefSeq and is a predicted model, not a curated record.